CCUACGGGUGGCAGCAGUGGGGAAUAUUGGACAAUGGGGGGAACCCUGAUCCAGCCAUGCCGCGUGUGUAGAAGGCCCUCGGGUUGUAAAGCACUUUCAGUGAGGAAGAACGCCUGGUGGUUAAUACCCAUCAGGAAAGACAUCACUCACAGAAGAAGCACCGGCUAACUCCGUGCCAGCAGCCGCGGUAAUACGGAGGGUGCGAGCGUUAAUCGGAAUUACUGGGCGUAAAGCGCGCGUAGGUGGCUUGAUAAGCCGGUUGUGAAAGCCCCGGGCUCAACCUGGGAACGGCAUCCGGAACUGUCAAGCUAGAGUGCAGGAGAGGAAGGUAGAAUUCCCGGUGUAGCGGUGAAAUGCGUAGAGAUCGGGAGGAAUACCAGUGGCGAAGGCGGCCUUCUGGACUGACACUGACACUGAGGUGCGAAAGCGUGGGUAGCAAACAGGAUUAGAUACCCCAGUAGUC
RNAcentral lists this ribosomal RNA (463 nucleotides) under Vreelandella stevensii. RNAcentral describes it as "partial 16S ribosomal RNA". It matches the Rfam family "Bacterial small subunit ribosomal RNA", at positions 338 to 795 of the family's 1533-position model. Lineage: Bacteria; Pseudomonadati; Pseudomonadota; Gammaproteobacteria; Oceanospirillales; Halomonadaceae. The record is from RNAcentral.